Molecule: ribosomal RNA, 685 nt
Filed under: fungal sp. CFK3
Lineage: Eukaryota; Fungi
Also listed under: 2 other names
Description: SSU rRNA
Rfam family: Eukaryotic small subunit ribosomal RNA
Source: RNAcentral
GAGCCUGAGAAACGGCUACCACAUCCAAGGAAGGCAGCAGGCGCGCAAAUUACCCAAUCCCGACACGGGGAGGUAGUGACAAUAAAUACUGAUACAGGGCUCUUUUGGGUCUUGUAAUUGGAAUGAGUACAAUUUAAACCUCUUAACGAGGAACAAUUGGAGGGCAAGUCUGGUGCCAGCAGCCGCGGUAAUUCCAGCUCCAAUAGCGUAUAUUAAAGUUGUUGCAGUUAAAAAGCUCGUAGUUGAAACUUGGGCCUGGCUGGCAGGUCCGCCUCACCGCGUGUACUUGUCCGGCCGGGCCUUUCCUUCUGGAGAACCUCAUGCCCUUCACUGGGUGUGUUGGGGAACCAGGACUUUUACUUUGAAAAAAUUAGAGUGUUCAAAGCAGGCCUUUGCUCGAAUACGUUAGCAUGGAAUAAUAGAAUAGGACGUGCGGUCCUAUUUUGUUGGUUUCUAGGACCGCCGUAAUGAUUAAUAGGGACAGUCGGGGGCAUCAGUAUUCAAUUGUCAGAGGUGAAAUUCUUGGAUUUAUUGAAGACUAACUACUGCGAAAGCAUUUGCCAAGGAUGUUUUCAUUAAUCAGUGAACGAAAGUUAGGGGAUCGAAGACGAUCAGAUACCGUCGUAGUCUUAACCGUAAACUAUGCCGACUAGGGAUCGGGCGAUGUUCUUUUUCUGACUCGCUC